RNAcentral lists this transfer RNA (71 nucleotides) under Rhipicephalus microplus (southern cattle tick). RNAcentral describes it as "tRNA-Gly". It matches the Rfam family "tRNA". Rfam says of the family: Transfer RNA (tRNA) molecules are approximately 80 nucleotides in length. Lineage: Eukaryota; Metazoa; Arthropoda; Arachnida; Ixodida; Ixodidae. The record is from Rfam by way of RNAcentral.
GCGUCGGUGGUUCAGUGGUAGCAUACUCGCCUGCCACGCGGGUGACCCGGGUUCGAUUCCCGGCCGACGCA